RNAcentral lists this transfer RNA (89 nucleotides) under Aspergillus japonicus CBS 114.51. RNAcentral's name for it is "tRNA-Asp". It matches the Rfam family "tRNA". From Rfam's summary of the family: Transfer RNA (tRNA) molecules are approximately 80 nucleotides in length. Their secondary structure includes four short double-helical elements and three loops (D, anti-codon, and T loops). Lineage: Eukaryota; Fungi; Ascomycota; Eurotiomycetes; Eurotiales; Aspergillaceae. The record is from RNAcentral.
UCCUCGAUGGUCUAACGGUCAUGAUUUCCGCUUGUCAAUCCCCCCGGGAACAAGCGCGGGAGACCUGGGUUCGACUCCCAGUCGGGGAG